RNAcentral lists this ribosomal RNA (253 nucleotides) under uncultured bacterium. Its description in RNAcentral is "partial 16S ribosomal RNA". It matches the Rfam family "Bacterial small subunit ribosomal RNA", at positions 524 to 776 of the family's 1533-position model. The record is from RNAcentral.
UACGAGGGGGGCAAAUGUUGUUCGGAAUCACUGGGCGUAAAGGGAGCGUAGGCGGGCUUCUAAGUUAGGUGUUUAAUCCCGGGGCCCAACCCCGGUCGUGCACUUAAAACUGGAAGUCUUGAAUAGUGGAGAGGUCAGUGGAAUUGGGGGUGUAGCGGUGGAAUGCGUAGAGAUCCCCAAGAACACCAGUUGCGAAGGCGGCUGACUGGACACAUAUUGACGCUGAGGCUCGAAAGCAUGGGGAUCAAACAGG